GGUGGAAUAAAUCACAAAAGUAUUUUUUCAGUUAUUUAUUAGUGAUCAAACUCCGCCUUUACACAAGGAAGUGUUGAAUGGAUCAAGUUUUAAAAGAGUAAGUAUUAAACUGUGUGACUAGUUUGCAAGUGCACCAAGUAAGUUAUAGUACAAUCAAAUGAGGGUUAUCGAUUCCAUGGGAAAGAAGUAAGUAUAUUGGUAGCUAGUUUUUAGGGGUUUUGGAUAGAAAAUGAAUAUGGAUAAAUACAUAGAUUGAGUGGGAUGGAAGCUAGAUUUAGUUUAUAUAUCUAGGUGCAAAUAUGAUAGAUUCAAUGAAUGCAAUGACAUUCAAAUACUUCAAUUCAGAUACGCAAAAUGAAUUGUUCCAAGAUAAAGUUCUAAAUAACUUUAUGUAGAUUCCUCUUGUAGCAAGAUUCGUUAGCAACCUUGUGGAGGUUCAAUCUCAAAGACUUGCUCCAUGGUUGCAAACAUUUGUUUAACUUAACCAAAUAUAUCCACAAAUAUGAAGAUAAUC
Molecule: long non-coding RNA, 514 nt
Filed under: Vigna radiata
Lineage: Eukaryota; Viridiplantae; Streptophyta; Magnoliopsida; Fabales; Fabaceae
Description: long non-coding RNA (VRAD_LNC017985)
Source: RNAcentral